RNAcentral lists this ribosomal RNA (494 nucleotides) under uncultured bacterium. Its description in RNAcentral is "partial 16S ribosomal RNA". It matches the Rfam family "Bacterial small subunit ribosomal RNA", at positions 28 to 507 of the family's 1533-position model. The record is from RNAcentral.
GACGAACGCUGGCGGCGUGCUUAACACAUGCAAGUCGAACGGUGAAGCGCCUUCCUUUUUGGUGGGUGUGGAUGAGUGGCGAACGGGUGAGUAACACGUGAGUAACCUGCCCCCUUCUUCUGGAUAACCGCAUGAAAGUGUGGCUAAUACGGGAUAUUCUGGGUCUGUCGCAUGAUGGGUCUGGGAAAGAUAUUGUUUCGGUGGGGGAUGGGCUCGCGGCCUAUCAGCUUGUUGGUGGGGUGAUGGCCUACCAAGGCGGUGACGGGUAGCCGGCCUGAGAGGGUGGACGGUCACACUGGGACUGAGACACGGCCCAGACUCCGACGGGAGGCAGCAGUGGGGAAUAUUGCACAGUGGGCGCAAGGCUGAUGCAGCGACGCCGCGGGAGGGAUGGAGGCCUUCGGGUUGUGAACCUCUUUCGCCAGUGAAGCAGGCCUGCCUCGUUUGUGGGUGGGUUGACGGUAGCUGGAUAAGAAGCGCCGGCUAACUACGUG